This 205-nucleotide long non-coding RNA is filed under the name Lathyrus oleraceus (garden pea). RNAcentral's name for it is "Pisum sativum (pea) long non-coding RNA (PSAT_LNC027384)". Lineage: Eukaryota; Viridiplantae; Streptophyta; Magnoliopsida; Fabales; Fabaceae. The record is from RNAcentral.
GAGAAGAGAAUGGUAUUAAGAUGAAGAGGAAAGGGGAAUGGAAUCAACACAAAUUGGUCAAAGGAGGAUUUUUAUAAAACUAAAAUCAUUCAUUCAUUUUGGGAGAUGAAAUAUACAUUUCAUCAAUCCCCAAAAUCCAAUUAUUUUAACUCAAUAAAGUCAAAUCAACCUUGACGAAGGCCCAACAACACAAGUCAAACUCAAC